This 491-nucleotide long non-coding RNA is filed under the name Brassica rapa (field mustard). Its description in RNAcentral is "long non-coding RNA (BRAP_LNC003945)". The record is from RNAcentral. Lineage: Eukaryota; Viridiplantae; Streptophyta; Magnoliopsida; Brassicales; Brassicaceae.
GGCGAUCAAAGCAAGGCACUCACUAUCCACAUUAUCCAAUAGCUCAUGCAUUUAAUACCUACAGAAGUCACACGGAUGAAACACCGAACAUGAUUUCUCACUGGGGUCCAGCCCACACGAGGGUGCAUCUCUAUCUCUUUUUUUUUUAUCUAGGGUUGAUGUUUUCGGCCAACGUGGACCCGUUUAUUUCCUCGAACACACACCUCUACUCUACAAGAAUUUAUACGAGAGAGGGAUAUAUAAACAGUAAGGAUCAACUAGCCAAAUGAAAUUUGGCUUAGCAAUUGACAAAUUAAAACACGGGUAUGGAGUUUAAUUUUUGGAAUGUUUUCCGGUGUUUUCGAGUUAUUUAAAGUAUUUUGUAAUUUAUGGCUUCUUGUCACUGAAAUACUAUUGUGCUAGUUAUGCAAUAAUAUUAGCUUAAUUUAAAUUAACAUGGUUUUCAGUAUACCAUAUAUAUAGGCAUCAGUUUUCUCACAGAAAAAUGCUUA